GGCUCCAUAAAACAGUUGUAACCAAGCACCGAGUGAUACACCUAUACGGAUAUCCCCGGUAAUUCUGAGGCUAAUACGUGAAAAAAUUUUCCCCGGAUCUCGGGCAACCGAGAGAAGGGGCGCUCAGCAUCUCACUUCCAAACCGAUUUGGCUCAUGAAUGCAGGCUGAGCACGACCGCGCAAGCGGCUCUGGUGGCCGGCUUCUGACCUAUCAACUUGAUGCAGGCAUAAGGUACAAACAUGGUAACAACGGGUACAGAGGAUAAGGGUUCGAU
RNAcentral lists this ribosomal RNA (275 nucleotides) under uncultured myxomycete. Its description in RNAcentral is "partial small subunit ribosomal RNA". It matches the Rfam family "Eukaryotic small subunit ribosomal RNA", at positions 95 to 381 of the family's 1831-position model. The record is from RNAcentral. Lineage: Eukaryota; Evosea; Eumycetozoa.